RNAcentral lists this ribosomal RNA (406 nucleotides) under uncultured bacterium. RNAcentral's name for it is "partial 16S ribosomal RNA". It matches the Rfam family "Bacterial small subunit ribosomal RNA", at positions 30 to 526 of the family's 1533-position model. The record is from RNAcentral.
AUUGAACGCUGGCGGCAGGCCUAACACAUGCAAGUCGAGCGAGUGGCGGACGGGUGAGUAAUGUAUGGGGAUCUGCCCGAUAGAGGGGGAUAACUACUGGAAACGGUAGCUAAUACCGCAUACUAUCGGAUGAACCCAUAUGGGAUUAGCUAGUAGGUGGGGUAAAGGCUCACCUAGGCGACGAUCCCUAGCUGGUCUGAGAGGAUGACCAGCCACACUGGGACUGAGACACGGCCCAGACUCCUACGGGAGGCAGCAGUGGGGAAUAUUGCACAAUGGGCGCAAGCCUGAUGCAGCCAUGCCGCGUGUAUGAAGAAGGCCUUAGGGUUGUAAAGUACUUUCAGCGGGGAGGCGUUACCCGCAGAAGAAGCACCGGCUAACUCCGUGCCAGCAGCCGCGGUAAUUC